RNAcentral lists this ribosomal RNA (495 nucleotides) under uncultured bacterium. RNAcentral describes it as "partial 16S ribosomal RNA". It matches the Rfam family "Bacterial small subunit ribosomal RNA", at positions 28 to 507 of the family's 1533-position model. The record is from RNAcentral.
GAUGAACGCUGGCGGCGUGCCUAAUACAUGCAAGUCGAACGCUGAAGGCGGACCUUGCUUCUCUGGUUGAGUUGCGCACGGGUGAGUAACGCGUGUGUCACCUGCCUGGUAGCGGGGGAUAACUAUGGGAAACGAUAGCUAAUACCGCAUAAUAGUAGAUGUUGCAUUACAUUUUCUUAAAAGUUGCAAUUGCUUCACUACCACAUGGACCUUCGUUGUAUUAGUUAGUUGGUGGGGUAACGGCUCACCAAGGCGAGGAUACAUAGCCGAACUGAGAGGGUGAGCGGCCACACUGGGAGGGAGACACGGCACACACGGCUACGGGAGGCAGCCGUAGUGAAUCUUGGGCAAUGGGCGGAAGUCUGAGCGAGAAACGCCGAAGGAGUGAAGAAGGUUGUCGGGUCGUAAAGGUCUGUUGUAAGGGAAGAAAGAGUGUGAGGGUGGAAAGUACACACUGUGACGGUAUCUGAAGAGAAAGGGACGGCUAACUACGUG